RNAcentral lists this ribosomal RNA (253 nucleotides) under uncultured bacterium. RNAcentral describes it as "partial 16S ribosomal RNA". It matches the Rfam family "Bacterial small subunit ribosomal RNA", at positions 524 to 776 of the family's 1533-position model. The record is from RNAcentral.
UACAGAGGUCUCAAGCGUUGUUCGGAUUCAUUGGGCGUAAAGGGUGCGUAGGCGGCGCGGUAAGUCGGGUGUGAAAUCUCGGAGCUUAACUCCGAAACUGCAUUCGAUACUGCCGUGCUUGAGGACUGGAGAGGAGACUGGAAUUUACGGUGUAGCGGUGAAAUGCGUAGAUAUCAGGAGGAAUACCGAUGGCGAAGGCAGGUCUCUGGGCUGAUACUGACGCUCAUGCACGAAAGCGUGGGGAGCAAACAGG